RNAcentral lists this ribozyme (78 nucleotides) under Crocodylus porosus (Australian saltwater crocodile). RNAcentral's name for it is "Mammalian CPEB3 ribozyme (ENSCPRG00005013172.1)". It matches the Rfam family "Mammalian CPEB3 ribozyme". Rfam says of the family: The mammalian CPEB3 ribozyme is a self cleaving RNA located in the second intron of the CPEB3 gene which belongs to a family of genes regulating messenger RNA polyadenylation. This ribozyme is highly conserved and found only in mammals. Lineage: Eukaryota; Metazoa; Chordata; Crocodylia; Crocodylidae. The record is from Rfam by way of RNAcentral.
CAAGCUGCCAUAAUGGCUAUAGCAGAAGUGUUCAUAUCACAGCCAUGUCCGAUUCCAGUGAAUCUGCUAAAUUCUGCU